UUGUUUACACCGCGUACGGUGCAGCGCUUUGGGAAACCUCCAUGCCGAAGGCGACCUUUGGGGAGCUAACUUUUAGCAGUUAUGAAAUUGAAGUCUCUCUUUAGGGUUAAUCGGAUCUUUGUUCAAAAGUGGUGCCAGAGAAUACAACCCGUCAGUCACGUCAGCCUGUUGUCUGGCAUGUCUGGUGUAGUUGGCAGAUCUCCGUUUUUGCUUGUCCAUAAGCCUACAUGUAAGAUCAAAAGUGCGCUUGGACACAUUGGAAGAGUCUUUCCGCGGCCGCAGCAUUCACGUAGUCACAGGCAAUGUGAAAACAACGAUCAAAACUUGAAAACCUUGCUUUUGCUCAACAGAGCAAUCUCCGAUGCUGUCACAAAUGCGCCACCCAUCGAUGACCAUGACCUAUUUUCGAGAAUUUCCCACUUAUUCAUGAAUGCAUCAUUCAACUUCGGCGACCAAAGAUUGUUGCACACAACUGUUGAUGAAGAAGAAGUAGCUAAAUUCAGGAGUCUGGUUCAAUCUUGGUGGGAUGUGAAUGGUGAAUUUCAGGCACUUCAUAGUCUGAAUGAUCUCCGUGUUCCUCUGAUAAGGGAUGGACUAGUCAAACGGAAUGGUUGCCAGUCUCUACUUUCAUCACAACCUCUUGCUGAUACAUUCAUCUUGGAUGUUGGCUGUGGAGGAGGUAUUCUCUCAGAGCCAUUAGCACGACUUGGUGCAACAGUCAUUGGUAUUGAUGCUGCCUCAGAGAACAUACAGGUGGCUCGGGAGCAUGCUUCCCAUGAUCGCCUACUAUGGAAGAGAAUAAAUUACAUCUGUGCAACAGCAGAAGAAUUAUUGAGCACAAAUGGAGAAGCAUUUGAUGCAGUUAUUGCUUCAGAGGUACUUGAGCAUGUCUCUAAUGUUGAGGGCCUUGUUGCAACAUGUUCACAGUUAACUAAGCCGGCUGGAUCCAUCUUCUUCACAACUAUCAACAAGACCUGGCUUUCCUUUGCCUUGGCAAUUGUUGGUGCGGAAGAUAUAGCAGGGGUUGUACCAUCGGGUACUCAUGACUGGAAUAAGUUUAUUCCUCCACAAGAUCUUCAAAGGUUUCUCCAUGCUAUGUUAUGAGCAUUUUAUAUGAACAGCAAUGGCGAUUGCAGCAGAAACAGUGAUCGGAGCAUACUCAUCCUCGAGCACAGCUGGGUACACAAACAGAAGUUUUAUAACCCAUGGUCAGGGUGAAGAGAGUAGCACUUCCAAAUGGACACAGUGCUUCAUGUCUCCUACACAGUGCACACCUACAAUAAUUGGCAAUUGUCAAACAAAGUUGGUUCAUGGUAUGAUAUUCAACCCUGUAACGAAGCGAUGGUUCUGGGGAACUCCUACGACUUGUA
This 1370-nucleotide unclassified non-coding RNA is filed under the name Acanthaster planci (crown-of-thorns starfish). Its description in RNAcentral is "ubiquinone biosynthesis O-methyltransferase, mitochondrial-like, transcript variant X9". Lineage: Eukaryota; Metazoa; Echinodermata; Asteroidea; Valvatida; Acanthasteridae. The record is from RNAcentral.